RNAcentral lists this ribosomal RNA (252 nucleotides) under uncultured bacterium. RNAcentral's name for it is "partial 16S ribosomal RNA". It matches the Rfam family "Bacterial small subunit ribosomal RNA", at positions 100 to 354 of the family's 1533-position model. The record is from RNAcentral.
CGGGGUGAGUAACGCGUGGAUAACCUGCCUCACACAGGGGGAUAACAGUUAGAAAUGACUGCUAAUACCGCAUAAGCGCACAGUCUCGCAUGGGACAGUGUGAAAAACUGAGGUGGUGUGAGAUGGAUCCGCGUCUGAUUAGGCAGUUGGCGGGGUAACGGCCCACCAAACCGACGAUCAGUAGCCGGCCUGAGAGGGUGAACGGCCACAUUGGGACUGAGACACGGCCCAAACUCCUACGGGAGGCAGCAG